GUCUAUAGCCAUGCCACCCUGAACAUGCCUGAUCUCAGAAACUAAGCAGGUUCGGGCCUGGUUAGUACUUGGAUGGGAGAAUUCAGUUCGACC
This 93-nucleotide ribosomal RNA is filed under the name Microcebus murinus (gray mouse lemur). Lineage: Eukaryota; Metazoa; Chordata; Mammalia; Primates; Cheirogaleidae. The record is from RNAcentral.